This 465-nucleotide ribosomal RNA is filed under the name uncultured bacterium. RNAcentral describes it as "partial 16S ribosomal RNA". It matches the Rfam family "Bacterial small subunit ribosomal RNA", at positions 338 to 795 of the family's 1533-position model. The record is from RNAcentral.
CCUACGGGAGGCAGCAGUGGGGAAUAUUGCGCAAUGGGCGAAAGCCUGACGCAGCGACGCCGCGUGAGGGAUGCAGGUCUUCGGAUCGUAAACCUCUGUCAGCAGGGAAGAACGGUCACUGUGCUAAUCAGCAGUGAAUUGACGGUACCUGCAAAGGAAGCACAGGCUAACUCCGUGCCAGCAGCCGCGGUAAUACGGAGGGUGCGAGCGUUAAUCGGAAUUACUGGGCGUAAAGCGCUCGUAGGCGUUAUGUCAAGUUAAGGGUGAAAUCCCCGCGCUCAACGUGGGAACUGCCUUUGAAACUGGCAAACUGGCGUGUGUGAGAGGUUAGUGGAAUUCCAGGUGUAGGAGUGAAAUCCGUAGAUAUCUGGAGGAACAUCAGUGGCGAAGGCGACUAUCUGGCACAUAACUGACGCUGAGGAGCGAAAGCGUGGGUAGCAAACAGGAUUAGAUACCCCGGUAGUC